RNAcentral lists this long non-coding RNA (579 nucleotides) under Pan troglodytes (chimpanzee). RNAcentral describes it as "lincRNA". The record is from RNAcentral. Lineage: Eukaryota; Metazoa; Chordata; Mammalia; Primates; Hominidae.
CUUUUUAGCAGGGGCCUUACGGGUGCGCGCUUCGGUCCUGGAGACCUUAUCCUAGCCUCCUCUCCAUCAGCGCCACCCGUCUGCGGCCCGAAAGGAGGGAGCUUUCCCUCUGUCCCCCAGCCUUUGGACUGUCACCAAACAAGCCAUUCGUUCACCAAAUAGUUAUUAAGCGCCUACCAUGUGCCUGACAACGGAGAUGUAACGGUAGAAGUUGCUGGUCCCAUCUUGCCCACAAUCCUCCAAAAUUUGGAAGUUACUUUCCAGGAGACUUAGCUUGCACUGAGAGCUGCCCUCCCAACCCCUCUCCAAAUUUCCUCUUGGGAAUAGCCUAACAAGGUGCUGUCACAGACCCUUGCCAGCCACGAUGACCCCACCCAGAUCAUCCCUCUGCUGUUUCACUCUUUGAUACUCUCUGGAGCUCUCUGGGGAGGGGUGAGACCUGCUGUCUGGUUUGUACGGUUUGCCCAGGUCUUACAGUCAUGGCUGGCUGCCUCUCUCUGAGAACUGGGACUCCUGAACUUGGUGAAAUAUCUCAGCCAUCGAUCAUAUUAAAUUAUCGGGGACACUCAUUUAAAAUGC